This 484-nucleotide ribosomal RNA is filed under the name uncultured bacterium. Its description in RNAcentral is "partial 16S ribosomal RNA". It matches the Rfam family "Bacterial small subunit ribosomal RNA", at positions 30 to 507 of the family's 1533-position model. The record is from RNAcentral.
AUUGAACGCUAGCGGGAUGCUUUACACAUGCAAGUCGAACGGCAGCGCGGACUUCGGUCUGGCGGCGAGUGGCGAACGGGUGAGUAAUGUAUCGGAACGUGCCCAGUAGCGGGGGAUAACUACGCGAAAGCGUAGCUAAUACCGCAUACGCCCUACGGGGGAAAGCAGGGGAUCGUAAGACCUUGCACUAUUGGAGCGGCCGAUAUCGGAUUAGCUAGUUGGUGAGGUAACGGCUUACCAAGGCGACGAUCCGUAGCUGGUUUGAGAGGACGACCAGCCACACUGGGACUGAGACACGGCCCAGACUCCUACGGGAGGCAGCAGUGGGGAAUUUUGGACAAUGGGGGCAACCCUGAUCCAGCCAUCCCGCGUGUGCGAUGAAGGCAUUCGGGUUGUAAAGCACUUUUGGCAGGAAAGAAACGUCGCGGGCUAAUACCCCGUGGAACUGACGGUACCUGCAGAAUAAGCACCGGCUAACUACGUG